GUGAAAUUCAUUUUAAUGGUCAUUCCUCACUUUUAGAUCGUUGUUUUCUUAGGUAGUGUGUCGCGCUGGAUAUCUGCUAUCUUACUAAAGCAUAAUUGAGUGUGUUUUAAAGUGGUUUGAGUGAAUAAAUUGUCUUUAAAAUGAAAUAGUGAAAGGAACCGCACAGCAGACCAACUUGCAAGUCCAGAGCUCAAUAGUGGAGCAGCUGCGCCGCGAAGCAAGCAUCAAGCGCACUCCUGUCUCCGAGGCUGUGGAGGACAUCAAGCAGUUCAUCCUCCAGCAUGAGCAGGAAGACUACCUCCUGAUUGGGUUCUCCUCCCAGAAGAACAACCCCUUCAGGGAAAAGUCCUCCUGCGACAUUCUCUAAAUCAAAAGUGCAGUUG
This 383-nucleotide long non-coding RNA is filed under the name Penaeus japonicus. RNAcentral describes it as "uncharacterized LOC122249516". The record is from RNAcentral. Lineage: Eukaryota; Metazoa; Arthropoda; Malacostraca; Decapoda; Penaeidae.